GAUGAACGCUAGCGGCUGGCUUAAUACACGCAAGGCGAAGGGGCGGCAACGUCGCUGUCGUACGGGUGCGUAACGCGUAUGCAACCUACCUAUCACUGGGGGAUAGCCCGGGGAAACCCGGAUUAAUACCGCAUGAUACAUGUGAUCAGCAUUGGUUAUAUGUUAAAGAUUUAUUGGUGAUAGAUGGGCAUGCGUUCGAUUAGCUAGUUGGCAGGGUAACGGCCUACCAAGGCGACGAUCGAUAGGGGAGCUGGGAGGUUGAUCCCCCACACGGGCACUGAGAUACGGGCCCGACUCCUACAGGAGGCAGCAGUAAGGAAUAGUGGGCAAUGGAUGCAAGUAUGACCCAGCCAGGCCGCGUGCCGGAAGAAGGUCCUCAGGAUUGUAAACGGCUUUUAUUCGGGAAGAAGAGCAGAGGUGCGCCUUUGUGGGACGGUACCGAAUGAAUAAGCACCGGCUAACUCCGUGCCAGCAGCCGCCGUAA
Molecule: ribosomal RNA, 484 nt
Filed under: uncultured bacterium
Lineage: Bacteria
Description: partial 16S ribosomal RNA
Rfam family: Bacterial small subunit ribosomal RNA
Source: RNAcentral